CCUACGGGUGGCAGCAGUGGGGAAUAUUGCACAAUGGGGGAAACCCUGAUGCAGCGACGCCGCGUGAGUGAAGAAGUAUUUCGGUAUGUAAAGCUCUAUCAGCAGGGAAGAAAAUGACGGUACCUGAUUAAGAAGCCCCGGCUAACUACGUGCCAGCAGCCGCGGUAUUACGUAGGGGGCAAGCGUUAUCCGGAUUUACUGGGUGUAAAGGGAGCGUAGACGGCUGCACAAGUCUGGGGUGAAAUGCCGGGGCUUAACCCCGGAACUGCUGUGGAAACUGGGCAGCUUGAGUGCAGGAGAGGUAAGUAGAAUUCCUGGUGUAGCGGUGAAAUGCGUAGAUAUUAGGAGGAACACCAGUGGCGAAGGCGGCUUACUGGACUGAAACUGACGUUGAGGCUCGAAAGCGUGGGGAGCAAACAGGAUUAGAUACCCCUGUAGUC
This 440-nucleotide ribosomal RNA is filed under the name uncultured bacterium. RNAcentral's name for it is "partial 16S ribosomal RNA". It matches the Rfam family "Bacterial small subunit ribosomal RNA", at positions 338 to 795 of the family's 1533-position model. The record is from RNAcentral.